ACGGCUCAGUAACACGUGGAUAACCUGCCCUUGGGACCGGCAUAACCCCGGGAAACUGGGGAUAAUUCCGGAUAACGCAUAUUUGCUGGAAUGCUUUAUGCGUCAAAAGGAUUCGUCCGCCCAAGGAUGGGUCUGCGGCCUAUCAGGUAGUAGUGGGUGUAAUGUACCUACUAGCCAGCGACGGGUACGGGUUGUGAGAGCAAGAGCCCGGAGAUGGAUUCUGAGACAUGAAUCCAGGCCCUACGGGGCGCAGCAGGCGCGAAAACUUUACAAUGCGGGAAACCGUGAUAAGGGGACACCGAGUGCCAGCAUCAUAUGCUGGCUGUCCGGAUGUGUAAAAUACAUCCGUUAGCAAGGGCCGGGCAAGACCGGUGCCAGCCGCCGCGGUAACACCGGCGGCCCGAGUGGUGAUCGUGAUUAUUGGGUCUAAAGGGGCCGUAGCCGGUUUGGUCAGUCCUCCGGGAAAUCUGAUAGCUCAACUAUUAGGCUUUCGGGGGAUACUGCCAGACUUGGAACCGGGAGAGGUAAGAGGUACUACAGGGGUAGGAGUGAAAUCUUGUAAUCCCUGUGGGACCACCUGUGGCGAAGGCGUCUUACCAGAACGGGUUCGACGGUGAGGGACGAAAGCUGGGGGCACGAACCGGAUUAGAUACCCGGGUAGCCCCAGCCGUAAACGAUGCUCGCUAGGUGUCAGGCAUGG
RNAcentral lists this ribosomal RNA (700 nucleotides) under uncultured methanogenic archaeon. RNAcentral's name for it is "bacterial SSU rRNA". It matches the Rfam family "Archaeal small subunit ribosomal RNA", at positions 85 to 783 of the family's 1478-position model. Lineage: Archaea; Methanobacteriati; Methanobacteriota. The record is from RNAcentral.